CGGUUAUACCAUACAUGCACUAGUUGUUAGAGAGAACCCUCUUACAAACCAAUACACUUCUAGCACUUACUCAUUAACCUAGUAACCUUCCUGCAAGAUCGCACUCAUCUCACGCCUAAUAUCCUGAUAUACAGCCAAAUAAUAGUUUAGAUAAAAUUUUAAAAUAUCAUAAAUAUAAUAAUCACCAGGUCUUUUUUUCCCCAAACUUCUGUUCAUGCUAAGCCACAGGGCAAAUGAACACCCUCGGAGGAAAGCACUAUCUACCCUCUUCAGUCAGUCACCUAAUAUUUGUGCAUUUUGUGGUAAUAGCAAAACUCAAGUUCAACCACUACCAGCAAAAAAGAUCAUUCUCUCAGAACACAAUAAUGAGCUUAAUGGCAUGUUAAAAUGACUCAGGCCUGCAUGUUACUUAAUGGCAUGCUAAACAAAUUAGUGGGCAAAUAUCUCCAGUCAUCAGUCAACAUUUUCUAACAACACAAUGCAUUCAAUUGUUUAAAAUAUUUUAUUAUGAGUUUUUUGUUUGUUUGUUUGUUUGUUUUUUUUAAAUGUCGUCACUGAUGCUGCCAGGAAGUUUAUAGUAACUCAUAAUUACUCUUUACUGUGGUGAACAGAAAAGCAUCUCAGAAUGCACAAAACGUUGAUGUGGAUGGGCUAUAAUAGCAGAGGACCACAUCAGGUUCAAGGUUUUGUGCAUGCUGAGAUGCUUUUCUGUUCAUCACGGUUGUAAAGAGUGAUUAUAAGAGUUACUAUAUCCUUCCUGGUAGCUCGAACAAAUCACAUCAUUUUCCGCUGAACCUCUCUUAACAAGGCGUUUACACCCACAGAACUGUCGCUCGAUAUGUUUUUUUUUGUUUUUCGCAUCAUUCUGUGUAAACUCUAGAGACUGUUGUGUGUGAAAUUCCCAGGAAAUCAGCAGUAUCUGGAAUAAUCAAACAUCCAUGCCACGGUUAAAGCGAACAUUAACUGAAGCUCUUGACCCAUAUCUGCAUGAUUGGCUGAUUAGAUAGCUGUAAGAAUGUGCAGGUGUUCCUAAUGAAGUGGACAGAGAGUAUUAUCAUAUAAAUAUGAAUUUCUUGUUCCCAUUGAUAUGUGGCAACAUUUCCAAAGCACUUUCAGCUUCCUCACAGUACACAGUACCACUUUCUGCAGCACAUUUCAAUGACGAGGUCUUCGAUUUGAUUUUGGAGAAUCAAAAGGGCUCAUGAAGUCCUUGUCUUGUUAUUCAAACACUACCUAGAGGUAACACUCGUUUGCAUAAAAAAAAUUCAGCUUUGCUUUACUGAACUUUUGCCAUGGUGCAAAAAUUCAGCAAAAACCCUCUUCCAACAAAUCAUAAACCUAAGAUUUAUGAUGAAUAAAUCACUCGCCAAUAAAGACGUACAGUAUACAGAUAUAGCACAGCAGAUACCCAACUGGGAUAGUGUUUAGUUUUUAUUCUGUUAACUAUGCUAUAGUUUAAAUCUUCUUAAUCUAAUCCUAGUCCCUUUGUAAUCUCUCCAUCAGGUCUGAAAAAACACAAGUCCAUCCGUGAAGAAGCCGAAGAAGCGUCAUUACGUAGAGAUGUGUGGUGCUUAACCAUUUAAUUAACUUCAUAAGGAGGUAUUUUUCGCCAUGAUAAUGUUCAUUUCUGAUAGGAUCAUUAAUAGAUCCGACAUUAAAAGCUGUACCCUUCAUGAAGCAACACAGAAGAGACAGCUGAACAAGAGAAACCUGUCAUUUUCAAAAAAUAAUAAUAAUAAUUAAAUAAAUAACACGGGUAAGAAAAAGGACACUUGUUCUCUUGUCAUUCAAUGACUGUUCAGAAGCAGCACUUUAAACACUGGCAAUUAUAUUACUCCAUUUAUAGGAAAGCUAAUGCCACUCAAAUUGAACCUCUCAUGGGUCACACCCAGAUAGCGUACUAGUCGAGGUGGGAGUGAAAUAUUUGCUCACUGAGCCUGGGACAAUAGAUCUCUGUACAGCAAGAGUGCCCAAGCCCAAGAGGCAGAAAUAUAUCAGUUAACCAAAGUUUCCCUUACUAUCCUUAGGCAAUUACGAGAAAAGACACACUGGUGACUCUUAGUUUGGGGAGAGGAAGCAAUAUAAAGCUUUGGGGUGAGAACACACACAUGCAUCAUAAUGCAUAACAGGCAUAACUGUGGCUGAAGAGAAAAAUGACAUCACAAUUAGGAUCAUCUACAAGGCGGCAAGCAAACUAAGGGUCAACCGAUGUGGGUUUUUUUCUGGGCCAAUACAUAUACUGAUUAUUAGUAAUCAAGGACACCGAUGACGAUAUUCACGUACCAUAAAUUUGCAGCAUGAAAAUUUACAAGAAUACAUUUCUUACUCACAACGGACAUUAAAUAAACCGUUAUAUAAUGUUUACCGUUAUAACAAUAGAAAAAAAAUUAAGUACUCUGAACAAAAACUGUGUGAAAAGUUGAUUGAAUAUUCACAACAGAUCAUAACAGACCAAAAGUUCACGCACAGGUACUGUGGGAUGAGACCACAGAGGGCUUUACAGGUCAGCAAAUAAUCUUUUUAAUCAAUGCAAAGUUUUACUGUGAUCCAACGACUACUGGCCUCUGAUCUGCCUGUGUUACCAUACCAUAGAUCACAAUAUUACCUUGAAUAUAUUGAUGGACUUAAGGGAAAGGCUCUUUCCUGGUUCAGGUCUCAUCUGUCUGACUGUUGUCAAUGUGUGAAACGUUAAUUGUGACAGCUCUAUUCGUACAAAAGUAACAUUUGGUGUUCCACGAGGCUCCGUUGAAAUUAUUUCAUAAAACAUGGAAUUAUCUUCCGCUGCCUAUGCUGCUGAUGUGCAGCUGGAUGUUUCACCCAAACAUACAAAAUGACAUACACCAACUUAAUAAAGCUGAGGAAUGGGUAAUCGACUUUAUCCUGUGCUGUUUCAGUAUUAUGAUCUAAAAGGUCUAAAUCCAAAGUGAAAGCAAGUCCAAUGCAAGCUCUAUGAAGUUCACAUGGGUCAUGGUCAGGUUUGGUACUCGAUGGUUUUAGAACCACCAAGUUAAAAUAAUUAGGUACACAGCUAGAAGCUUAUUAUUGUAACAGGAGGUUUGAUUGCCUCUGGUAGUAGUUCCUUAAGAAAAUGUGUAGGUGUCAAAUCUAGUACACAAGUUUAAUUAAGUCUGUUGGUUUGGGGUAAAGGAUUCCAAUGGUUCCACUAAAAUGGUUAUAUUGGUGUCUUAAAUAGUAUAAAAUUGUUACAAAUCACUUUCGAAAUUUUCUGUCUAAUGUUUUCAAAUUUGUCAUGAAAAUCAAAAGUCAGAGCUAGUAUACACUCACUAUCAGGUAUCUAUACAUCUGUGUCCCAUCACUCCUAGUGUGAAUCGGGAAUUAUUUUUAUGAUCUUCCAUGAGAGUGGGAGUUUGCAGCGGUUUUUCUAUAGUUGAUGAGCUUUCCUUCCAUGAAAUCUGGAGCAUUACCAGUUUCAUUCGAUGCUAUUUAUGUUCUAAAUGAGUGGUUUUAAAAUGCAAGCUUGAUCAUCAUACCAAGGUGUGAACUGAAGGCAGAAAGCUGAAGGUUAUCUUUCGUUACUGCAGUAACGAGUAGCUGUUUCGAUAAAUGUUAUCACAAGCCUUGCAUUAGAGUAAGGACAGCUUUUCAGAUAGCGCAAAGCAGCAAUUACUGUUUAACUCCAACACCACAGCAGGUUAGUCUGGAUAAACCUAAAUCAACGCACAACAUGAAUUCCAGUAAAACCUAGACGUCACCCCCAUAGACUUAAAGUCAACAAAAAGCACUAAUCACAGGCAACAAGAGUGGGAAGCAAAUUUUAAUCUUAUGUUCAGCAUCAUACAUCAUCAUAGAGUAGAAAUCCCAUUCAUCCAUUACAGAGGCUUCUAGAAUAUUACUCGAACUGAAAAGGAAAAAAAACCCAAAAACAAACACCAUCUGUCUUGAAGCUCAUUAAGAAUGAUAGCAGACCCAUACACAAACACAUUCCUAAAUACGCCCACAUAAACCUGUCUUUAGAGUGAUGAUCCAUCUAUGUGACGUUAUCCAGGGUAGUGUUUUACAUAAAGACAAACCAGAUUGUCAUAAUUGCUGCAAGAAAUAUUUGAAUAAAUAUCGAACCUGAGAAACAACUUGACAUGUUGUUACUCUACUGACUUUCCUGUCUUAUGCUCUCGUAUUUUCAAUUGGUCACGUUUUUAAAUGGGUCAUAAAUUCUUCAUAAAAUUCAAACAAACUUUACAGGAACAUUUUAAUCUGGCUGCCCGAAAACAGUUUUGCACACAGUGCUACGUGGUGUAAAAUUAUCAGUGCUGCCAUUGACUGCAACAGCACCAUUAUGGUAUUAUAUUCGACCUAUUUAAUUCUUUAUUUAAUGAUCAAUGCACCGAAUAUAAAAAUAUAUAAAAUCAAUAAUUUUUUUUAACUAAACAUUGCAACAAAAAUAAAACAAGUCUUUCUGAGCAGAAGAGCACUUAAUGCUAUACUACUUAAAUUAAAUAUUGAUAUUAGAUUAUAAACAGAGAAACUAUCCAGAAACUAUCCAUGAUGCAUUAGGACAUUUAUUGCUUGUAAUCAGGGCACUUCACUGUUCCUGACUCAAGCAGAUUUCAGACAGUUCAUGCUAUAGGACUGCUUAGUGGCCUUCUCCAAAUGUGGGAGAUUACUAAACUGACAUGCACAUAUACACUCAUACUGACAGAACAGUUUGAAUUUUGAAUCUGUUUCGAGAACACCAGCAUGAAUUGUCAUCCACGAGACCCACACAAGCCAAAGUCUCAAAAGUGAGGAAAGCGGUCAUGAAGCACUUAUGGUAGACAACAACCUCCACGAGAAAGCAAAACUAUUGAUAAAAGCCAGAAAAUAGGAGGGAAAAAAAACGUAAGAAGCAGCCUGCGACAGAGAAGGUGAGAAAGAGAAAGGGGCCAUGAGGCAGUGGUUGCUGUAGUGUGAGCAUGCUGUGGUUUUGUAACCGUGAUGUCACCGAAUGCUUCACUGACCCGCUGACCCAAUGACCUACUUUCCUUCCUCUGCCGCUCGCACGCUCUGAGAUUUAAUCUCUACUCAACAGUGAGACAGCCUGAGCCACUUCUGUCUCUAAGGCAGUGACAUUCCUUCCUGAGGCACACCUAAUGUUUCUCCAAACCCAUUACACACUGUUCCUUUACUGAAAGGAUGGUGUGAGGGAGUGAAGAUUCAGGAAGCUGUCACUGAGAAAAAGCUGCCAAUUAAAACCGUAAAGCAAUGCUGUCUUCAACAGCAACAACACACAUUCAUCUAUAUGUCCAAGUGAACUAGGCAAAUGUGUUGGGGGGGGGUUUCCCGGUUUACACCAGGUCACCUCCUCAUGACCACAUGAAACAAAUUCCUCUGCGGCCACAUUUACAUACAAUCCUCCCUCCCUUAUCUCACACAUGCUGCUCUUUCAUAUAUCCCUGCAAACUUCUACAGAUGUACAAUAUCAACAGAUAUUAAAUGAAAACCUGACUGCCUCUAACAGAAGGCUUGAAAUGGGCCAUGGUUGGAUCUUCCAGCAGGACAAUGAUCCAAAUCAUACAUCAAAAUCAACACAAACAUGGUUUAUUGACCACAAAAUCAAGGUCCUGCCAUGGCCAUCCCAGUCUCCUGACUUAAACCCAUAGAAAACCUGUGGAGUGAACUGAGGAGGAGAGUCCACCAGCAUGGACCUUGAAAUUUGAAGGAUCUGGAGAGAUUCUGUAUCAAGGAAUGAUCUCGGAUACCUUGCCAUGUAUUCUCCAACCUCAUCAGGCAUUACAGGGGAAGACUCAGACCUGUUAUCUUGGCAAAGGAAGGUAGCACAAAGUAUUGACUAAAAGGGUGAAGAUAAUCGUUGCACACCUAUAUUUAACAAAGUAUCUUUCUAUUCUAAACCUGUUUUAUUUACAAUUCUUUGAUAUCCAUGAGAGCAGAGUAUUUUGGGGAAUUUUUUUGAACAAAAGAUCAAACAAUAAAGACAAGUUUUCACAGCCUUUUUUUGCUCAUAUUUACCAAGGGUGCCAAUAUUAGUGGAGAACACUGUAUGAAUCUUCCCCCACACAUAAAUACGUUAAGGUUAAACGUAAAGUCUAAUACCAAAUAGUGUACUCACUAUUCAGGCAGGCAGCACACAUUUGUCUAAGGCCUGGCAAUCCAUCCAUUCGCACACAAACACUGCAGUAACAAUUUAAAUCACCAUAUAUCUGCUUGCUUCCACCUCACUCUCAUUCAGCUUAAAUACUACACAACUUUCUGUUUGCAUGCCAAGAGCCCACACACCCUGGGCAUUUUCAUCACAGACUCUGCAAGUCUCUGCAAGCUCUUUGGGUGUAUGCGUGUGUGUUCUCUCAAAUGUAGGUCAGUGAAGCUUUGAGUCACUCCAACACGGAUCCUCAGUGCCGCCCGGUAUGCACGGUGCCAUGACAACGGCGCCUGUCAGCAAUGCCAUAGCAACCGCUCACACCAGCAGGGGUAAAAAUAGACACUGAAUUCCUCCACAGAAGAAAUUCCCUCCUUUCCCCAUCUCUCUCUCUCAUUCCCAAGCAUUCAGGUAUACAGACCGUCUCCCACGUCAACAGAACCGGAGUUCCCUCUAACGCACUUUUAUUACGAAUCCAAAAUCAGGGUCAAGGUGGUGGGAUGGUGAUGAUAUUCCCUACACAUUUUUGUUAAAAACCUUUGCACUUGCUUUAUAUGACUCAGCAAAGUCUGAAAAAAAUGGGAGGGGGGUGGGGGAAGAGAACUUCCCAGUUUUCCCAAACUUUCCAGUCUGCAUACCAUCAGUUCCUCUUAAUAGUACAAAUUUGGGGUGCAGAUGUAGGCUUUUCCACCAUGGUGUUUGUCUACCCAAAGUAACAGCCUGCAAAGAUUGGGUAUCGACUGCACUACAGUGGAUUCUAUAAAUAUUUACCCCCUUGAAUGAUUUACCACCUGAAAAUUAAUUGGACUUUAUUUGGAUUAUGGCAUGAAUCUACAGAAAAAAAAUAAUAAUAAUUUAAAUAAUUAUACAUUAUAUUGAAGUCAGUAGUAAAACAAUAAAUCAAUGUAGUUUGCAAAAUGAUUUGCAAAUAAACAUUUUUUAAAAUACAUAAGCAUGAAACCCAGACAUUAGUUCUGAGGCAACCAUCAGCCAUCAGAAAUCACAAUUAGUCAAAUCUGUGUGCAAUUAAAGCAUCGCGUGAUCUCAAUACACCUAUUCCUGGAAGGGGCCCAGAGUUUGUUACAGAACAUACCUAAACAAACCACAUCAUUAGGACCAAAGAGUUCUCAAACAAGUCCAAGACAAAAGUUCUGGAAAAGUAUCAAUCGUGCUUUUGUUAUUUGGUUAUAAAAAAAUAAAUAUCCCAACCCACAGAAAACCAUUAAAUCCAUGAUUAUAAAUUGGAAGAACAUGGAAUAAACAACUACGACUCAGCUUAACGUAGGCUGUCCACCCAAAUUCAACACCCGGGUAAAAAGGGGAUUAGUCAGAGAAGCAAUUCAAAUCAGCACAAUAUGGCUCCCUAGGCAACGUAAUGACCAAUUUGUGGGAUAACAAAUAAUGUCAUGUGGUAAACAUCAUUUGCUGAUAAUGAGUUCAAACUCUUCUGUUUACUUCACACACACGCAUAUACAUGAAAUCAUUAAACCUGUGUGUACAACUGAAAUAAAUUUGUUCAAAUUGUAUAAAAUCGCAGUAAUUAAUCACCAGUUAAACGUUCUGAAGCCACCAAUCAAAAGUUCUCAUGAGUGAGUUUCCUUACACAUCAAUUACACAAACUCAGGAUCUCUCUCAGGAUACAACCAUUUCUAACUGACGAACUGGAUUUUAAUGAAUGCCACAUUGUGUAAAAGCUCCUACAAAUGAUUUACGGAUAAACCCGUUUGUAUCCAGGUUGAUACAAUCAGGACAAUAAUACAUGGACAAUAAUAAUCUGAUAUUAACCCAUUUAAGACUAUACUCAGAUUAAGAAACUAGCAUGUAAACAGCGAUUAUUGAUGACUUUAAUCCGACUAGUCAUACUAUGAGUAAACACAAAUGGAAUUAAGACAUGUGGAGUAUUCCUGGUUUAGUCACAUUAUGGAUGUGCAUUACCGACACGUACACACAUCAAUCACACUAUUAAGGUCGUGUGGGAGUUUUCACCGCAUUUUGCGGUUGAGCAUUUACACGGCAGUGCUCAACCGUUAGACGGCAAACAAGAGAGCAUGGCUGUGUCCCAAACCACAUACUUACCUGCUACAAUAUAAAAUAGGAGAAAUACAUGCAUCUUAGCUGCUAUAUAGUAGGCAAGUGUGUGGUUUCGGACGCAGCCCACGACUUCAAGAAGUCAUCUAUUUGCACGUACAGCAUGACAAAUAAUUAACUGCACUUGAAACACCCAAAACUGUAUACGGUACCAUAACAAAGACCAAUUGUAUCUCGAUACGUGACAGUGUGGAGGGAACAUCGGACGGCGUGGCGUGGGGACGUAAUGACGUGUGCCGUUAAUCGAUCUAUGUUCUAGAACAUGUAAAACGGGAACAUGAAAGGAAUAUUCUAAAAGCAACUCAUGCAAAAACCUUAUUCACACUAUUGUCUUACUCAGAACAAGAUCAAUAAUUAGAUUAUUGAUGUCCAUGUAAACGUAGUCAAUGACGCAUCAUGAGAGGACAUACACAGAAAACCCUCUCUCUCAUCAUGUGAAUCCAAAACGCACGUUAAUUACAUGCAACAUAUGCAAAUAAAUUACAGAUGGAGGAAGACAUGAGGUCUGCUUUAAGAGUUCCAUCACCAUUUAAACAGCACAGUUACACGGUUACAAAUGACUGGAACAACGCUAUUCGGUAAUUUUCUAUCACUGAAACUUACGCUCCGAGUGGGCAUGACGAAUAUUUCUCAAAUGCACCAUGUGUACAUCCAGAGACACUUCUUGUCGACAACACCUCAGAAUCUGCAUCCCGCUGUGGUUGAGCUGUGAGCCACAAGACCCAUGCCUGGAGCUCACAAAAGCUUCCUUUGUCUGACGAAGACUUCCAGAGGCCAGUGAUUCGGAAAACAUCUGAAAACCUCUGCUUUCCACUGGUGCUGGGCCUCACCGCACAGCUGGCAGCAGGCCUCACACUGGAGCUACUGCAGCCUUGGAGCCAAACGCUGGCACCCCUCUCUGCCAAGUGGGUCAGCCAAGAUCUGGUAUAAAGGGGCAGCGAGCAGGAAGAGAGAGAAUUUCACAGAACUAAUUGUUCAUUCUUUCACCUGACCUCUACAUUUGCUUAUCUAUAUCCGUUUUUUCAAAAACAGCACCUAAUAAACAGAAACACUAGAGUGCCGCCAGGUAAAGAUCAUCAGUGCUGAACCACAACAUUAGACUGGAGAACCAAAAGCUUUUAAAGCAUUCAGUACAGAUUAAUCAAAAAAGGGAAAGGUUUCAACAGAAAUGAGACACCUACGGAAAAAAAAUCUGUCAGUAGAAACAUGCAAAAAAUGUUAGCUGUUGCAAUGUUGUGUCUACAGAACAAAAUAUGCACGCAUAAUCAUGUGGGAUGGGACCGGCUAGAAGUAACGUCAGAUUCUUUGCCAAAAAACUACGCUAGUCAAUGUCUUGUUGAAUGUUUCUUUUUUUUUCCUUUUUAGAAAGUAAACAAAAAGUUCUGCCACCAAAAAUUCAGUCAAUAAGAGAAGAAACAAAACAGAAGAAAAAGGAAAAGUUGCUCCAAGAACAGUUUUUGAAAAGACACAAAGAAUAACUAAAAGACUUAAUAGAAUUCAUUACGCAUACACUGAUGGCCAACCUCUCUCGGUUGUCUCUGUGGGGAAUUUUGAAGGCUAAUGAAGCAUAUUGGCCAUUACAUGCCAUUUUUUCCAGAUACAGGUCUACCAGAAGUGUAUGUACAUCAUUACAGCUCACAUUCAAAAUAAAUAAUAGUACUUCCUGAAUUUCAAGUUUCCGUUUCAGCUAGGAAUUUCCAUUUUGGUGAAUCAGUAGUACUUACUACUGUCAGCUAACUGAGGUACUAACAUUUUUAAAUGAUGCUAUAAAUCCAAAGGAAAAAAAAAAAGAAAAGAAGAGCAGCAUCCUGAAAGUGAUAUUAAGUGAAAUAAUUUCCAAAUGGUAUUAUCACAAUCAGCAUUUUAUUUAUCACUGUAUCUGAAUCUCAAGUCAAGUGACUUUGUCGUCAUUUCAAAUCAUAAACAGCUGGUACAGUGCACAGUGAACUGAAACAACAUUCCUCCAGGACCUCGGUGGUACAUAAAACACACUAACUACAUGAGACGACACAGAACUAAAUAUGUACACAUUUCUAUAUAAAGUGCACAUACAAACGUGUGUUAACACCACAGGACAGUACAAUACUACUAAAACAGGACAAUAGGCACAGUAAGUGACAGUGUAGCACAGACAAGUACACAGUUCUAUGUGGAAGUGUCUGAUAUACAGGUAGUGCAGAAGAUAGGUGCCAAAGAGUAGCAAUAUAAUAUAAAAAUAGUAUAAAUGUAAACAUAACAUGCUAUGACUUAGUAUUCAGCAGAUUAGUGUAUACCAAAUAUGGACAUAGCAGUUGUUGCAGUAGCAGCCAGGUAAAGUGUAUAAUCGUGACAAGAAAUUAAAUACCAUAUUUUUAUAAUAGAGUACCACCAAAAAUGCAACAGAGUCAAUGCAGGAAUGUGCAAAUAUUGCAAUGGGAGUGGGAUGGUGUUUAGUUCAGUGUGUGUGUGCACAUGUGAGUGAGUAUGUGUCAGUCCAGUCUCUUGAGUAUUGAAGAGUCUGAUGGCUUGGGGGAAGAAGCUGUUACACAGUCUGGUCGUGAGACACUGAAUGCUUUUUUAGCCUUCUCAGAAAGAGACGCUGCUGGGUUUUCUUAGUUAUGGAGCUGUUGGAGUGGUCGCUGUGUGGUCUCCUGAAGUCAACAACCACGUCUUUCGUUUUGUCCACGUUCAGAGACAAUUUGUUGGCUCUGCACCAGUCCAUUAGCCGCUGCACCUCCUCUGUGUAUGCUGACUCAUCAUUCUUCCUAAUGGAGACCCACCACGGUGGAUUUAAGCUGUGCAUUGCUGCACAGUCAUGAGUGAGCAGAGUGAACAGCAGUGGCCUGAGCACACAGCCCUGAGGGGGCCCCCAUGCUCACUGUGGUGGUGCUGAAGAUGCCGUUCCUGAUCCGUACCGACUCCAGUCUCCCAGUCAGGAAGUCCAGGAUCCAGUUGCAGAGGGAGGUGUUCAAUUCCAGUAGGUUCAGCUUUCCAUUCAGGUGCUGAAGAAUAGUUGUUUGAAUGCUGAAGUGAAGUCUAUGAACAGUAUUCGAAUGUAGGUGUCCUUCUUGAACAGGUGGGUAAGGGCCAAAUGUAGGGUGGUGGCAAUGAAAUCAUCUGCUGAGCGGUUGGGACGAUAGGAGAACUGCAGCAGGUCCAAUGAGGGGGGCAGUAGGGUCUUGAUGUGCCUCAUGAUGAGUCUCUCGAAGCACUUCAUGAUUAUGGAUGUGAGCGCAAAGGCACGGUAGUCACUGAGGCAAGACUUCUUCGGCAUGAGGACAAUGGUGGUAUCCCUGAAGCACGUUGGAAUGAUGGCGCUGCUCAAGGAGAUGUUGAGGUCAGUGAGAACAUCCACGAGCUGGUCUGCACAUCCUCUGAGCACUCUGCCAGGAAUGUUGUCUGGUCCAGCAGCUUUCCAUGGGUUGUCUCUGCGUUGAGUUUUCCUCACAUCAGCCGAGGUUAGACACAGCACCUGGUUGUUGGGAGGAAGGGUGUUCUUCCUGACCAUCACAUCAUUCUACGCUCAGAUUGAGGCACAGAAGUUGUUCAGUGCAUCUGGAAGGGAGGCAUCACUGUCAAAGGCGGGUGAUGUCCUGUAGUUGCUGAUUGCCUGAAUGCUCUGCCACAUCUCCCACGUGUCGUGCUAUCCUUGAAGUGGCUGUGGAUUUUCUAGUCGUGUACACACUUUGACUCUCUGAUGGUCUGGCACAGUUUGGCCCUCGCUGUUCUUGAAUUCCUGCGGUAAAUAAAAUGGUCUGCAUCUAACAGUCACAAACUCCACCAGCGAUGAGCAGUAACUAGAAACUAGCAGAGUUUUUGCACAUUUCAGUGUUACUGUAAAUACACAAGCCACCACUGAGAGCCUGACCACACAGAGCUGCAUUUUCAAAUGCAUUCAAACACAUCCAAAUACAAAACAGUUUUUGAAAAGUGGAAUGAUGACGUUUAAAUAAACAGACAUCUUUCAUUUUCAGAAAUGUUCAAGGACAAAGGACAAAAGAAAACCAGCUCGUGCAUCACCGAUAUUGCUAACGCAAGCUUUAGUGAGACAGGAGGCGAUGGAAUGCCUAGUUGGUGGAAAUGUGCUUUUGUUCUAGCUUUUUUCUACAUACUGAAUUUUACACUUUUCUUUUCAGUAUUUAGAAAUGUCAUUUUUAUUUCGCAGACCAAAGCGUCAGCAAAAACAACACCGCGGUAAUGUAUUCUACGUUUUCACUACUAAAGUAGUUUAUAAAAUGUAAUAUGUCUACUCAAGCAGAAAUCAGUGACUCUACUUUAGCACAGUGAGGAAAAGAUCUCGGCGGCAGACCAGAAAACUCUGUGUUUAAUAGAAAACCUGUAUUUAGAGCUUAACUCUGGAAAAUGUUCUUCAAAUAAAACAAGCACUGCAAUCUUACAAUUUCAAAUAUUAAUUUCCAUGAAUAAGCAGAGCAAACAGAAAGAGGUUUGAAGCGCGCACUGUGUCUAUAGAUAUUUAACACACUGCCAUUGAAACACAGGCAGGACUGUAAGGACUACGCAUUAUGGAAACAAACACAAUACCUCUUUCGUAUAGUAAUAGAACAGGCCAUGCCGUUACAGGGAAUUAAUCCCGUACGAAAUGAAAGCUCUGUGUUAUUUAUCCUUCACUACAGCGAAAACAAUUUUUCCACUAAGGAUACGCCACACGUUUAAACAGUUUAUCGUUACAUGUAAUGCUACCUGAAAGCACUGACCCUGAGAAUCCUUCAACAAAUAUAAACAUCUAAAAGAAAACUUCAUAUCAAUGAUUAUAUGGUGUUUGUGAUUGUUGAAUAACACGUUUUUAGUUAUAUUAACUUAUCAUUAGUCUUAGAUUAUGUGACGCCUCUGCCAUACUAGUCCCUGUUACUAUAGAAACAGUAACAUAUACCAAGCAUGUUAAUACAAACAUAUUAUUCAUGUUAUAGCCAGAACUACAGUUAAAAGCCAUUCAUCCACACCUUCUGGUUCGAGAAUUUAACAGCAAUGUGGUAUAAAAGGAAGUAAAGCCAGUUAUUAAAUCAAUCAAUAAUUCAUCACUAGAUACUAUACAAAAACACAACAUAUUAUUGAACGGCAAUGCUGUGGCAAUUCAGCGGCAAUGUGCUGAAUAUAAACAGACAUCAAUUCAAUCAACGAAGAAGAAGUGAUUUGUCAGUAACCAAGUAAUCUUUCCAAAACGUAAACUCACUGAAAACAAAAGCCUCAAUUUCACUAAUCCACAUUCCUUCAAGCCACGACUCAACCCUCCAUCACUCAAGACACAAGGAAGGUGUGCAGCAAGACAUCCCUGUACUGGCACCAAGCUGGUAGAGUAAAUGACCCCUGGCCAGAGUGCCCUCACUGACCUGCCUCUUCACCAAAUACUUCAACAACACAUUAAACAAAACACCCUCCUCUCUCGGUUUCUCGAUGCAGACUACAAGGUCACUCUGCACAAAGGGCGUCUAUUAAAUGCUUUAAAUGUACAUUUGACUUAGCAGGUUGGAUUACAAAAUGCUGAGUUUGUGUUAUAAGAAUAAGCAAAUAAGUAAGCAGGUCUUUCAUUCCUUGCAAGGUACACAUUUUUGCUUUUCCAAUGUACACCUUGAAGAUACUGAGUUCAAAAUAUUUUGAAAAAAA
Ictalurus punctatus (channel catfish) is the source of this 13780-nucleotide long non-coding RNA. NCBI's taxonomy places the organism in Eukaryota, Metazoa, Chordata, Actinopteri, Siluriformes, Ictaluridae. The record is from Ensembl.